AGAUGUUAAAAUGAUUGUCACUGAAACAGUUACAAGCUUGCUUGCCCAAAUGAAAAAAGAGAUGAAAAAAGAACUUAAAAAAGAAAUGAUGGUUGAAAUUCAAACUAAUAAAGAAAAGGUAGAACAGCACUUUAAGUCAGAGGUAUCUAGACUAAGUAAAAGAAUAGACAGUGUAGAAUUUGACAAUGCGAAUAUCUUAGAAAAAAACGCAAACCUUCACAAAGAAAACAGGCUUUUGAAAGAAGAGAUUGAAAAUACGGGAAAACGUGCAACCGAAGCAAUGGAAUUGUCAAACUGGAAUGAACAAUACUCAAGGAAAAAAAUAUUAAAAUAUUUGACUUUCCAGAAAAAAAGGGGGAAAGAUUGCCUCAUAGCUUUUUUCAAGAGAUAAGUAAACUGGGUGUAAAAAUUGAACCAUCAGAGAUUGUAGCAGCACACAGGAUACCAGGAAAAAACGGCAAACCUAGACCAAUUCUUGUGAAAUUUAUGCGCAUGGAAUCGAAAAUCUCUAUUUUGCGAAAUAGAAAACUUAUCAAUGAGAAGUUAGAAGUUCGCAUCUCUGACGAUGUUACAAAAUUGAACCAAGGGCUACUAAAUAGACUAUACCUGCAUGAGGAUGUCACCAGUGCGUGGUAUUUCAACGGUCACAUAUAUGGCACUGACAGCAAGGGGGACCGGCAUCGUUUUGACAUUUAUGACAACAUAAGGCAGAAACUGAGCUCAUAAGAAUAGCUCGUAUAACGGACCGGUUCUUACAUUACAUUUAUUCAAAUUUGUUUAUUGUCGUUUAUUAUUUGUUGAUAUCUUGUAGAAAUGUCGUUCUUUUUUUUUAUUGUUUAACAACACCAAAGUUGAAGAUGAACCUUUGCAUUGUAGCCUGUAUAUUCAGGGAGUGGCAUACCUAAUUUAUUUAUUUUACGGAAUUUAAGGUCUAUUUCCGUAUUCGUCUUUAAUUUUUCUAUCCGUUUCAAAACUUCCGGUAGAGAAUUUAACAAAAACUGCACAUUUGAAAUACACAUUUUUUAAUAUUUUUGGUAAGAAGUAAUCGGUUUUCAAUCUGGUCUUCGAUUUAAAAACUUCCGGGCCACUUCACUGAUAUGAAAAAAUACACCGAACACCAUCUCCUCCUGGAAAUAGAAGUAAAAUCUUAUCUGUUCUCUGUGUGAAUAAUGAACCGUUAAAAAAUGUCUCUUAGACCUAUAAAUUAUAACUAUAAAUUUGUCCUAGUACUACUUCAGAGUAAUCCCUGCACAUAAGCGUGAGAUUAAUAAACAAACACUUAUAAAAUGAAACCCUUGCCAAUACAUUUUAUCAUACAAUAAAUGUUUAAGUGCUAGUUUCACUCUGGAUAAAUACAAUAUACAUGUAACACUGAAAUAAGAGAUGCAUGUACAGUUAAGAUGGGGUCAGCAAUCUGAAUUCAAUUGUAUAUAUAGAUGGUUGUUCGUGUAACAGGAUUUAAAGGUGCAUGUGUAUAUUUGUAUGUUGUUUUUUUUUAUGUUUUUCUUCUUCAAUUGUAUGAAUGCAUGUACCUGUGUUGGUAAAAAUGCUCUGUUGUUAUUGUGGGUUUUUUUGUUUCUUUUUUUCGUUACUUUAUUUUCUUUUAUUUAGCAUGGUGAUUAUAAAUUAGCAUGUUGACUAUUAUUAUAUGCUAUUCUUUGUUAUACAUCUUCUCUCGUAAAAUCGAACAAUACACAAAUUUAAAAUUAAAACGUGCAAAUCGAGGUACAAAAUGAAGUUUCACAGAACUUUUUUGAUAUAUAUUUCAGUUUUACUUUAGCACAAAAAUAUUUGCUCAUUUUAUUUAUACUAUGAUGCUCUCGACACUUUUUUUUAGGGGGUUGGGGGUAACUCUAAGUAAAAAAUUGAAACAUUGGGAAAACACUUUUACAUAUAGAUGCACAUGUGUAUGGUUUGUUCAUACUGCUUGGAUAUAUUGGGCUUAUAGAUAUUUAUAUUUAUUAUUAUUUAAGCUAUUCUUGUUUAACCACUUGAUAAUAUUAUGUCGACUAUAACUAUUGGUAGUGUAAACUGCAGGGGUUUAUCAGAAACAGUCAAAAGAAUUGAUAUAUUUACAAAAUAUAAGGACUUAUAUGAUAUAAUUAUAUUUAGUAGACACCCAUAGCACAUCUGAAAAAGAAAAACAAUGGCUGCAUGAAUGGGGAUAUGUGGGGAAAUUUAGUUCUUUUUCUAGUAAAAGUAGAGGGGUAGCUGUUCUUUUCAGAAAUACUUUUGAAUUUAAAAUCCAUGGGGAAACUAUAGACUUGUCCGGUAAUUUUGUUAUAUUAGAUAUCACCAUUCAGGACUAUCGUAUAACUUUGGCAGCAAUAUAUGGACCGAAUAAUGAUGAACCAGCCUUUUUUGACAACAUAAAAAACAAAAUAUCCCACUUUGGCAACUCGUCAAUUGUAGUGGUGGGUGAUUGGAAUGUUGUUCAAGAUUAUGAGAUGGACACAUUAUAUUAUAGAAAUGAAAAUAACCCCCAGUCAAAAGCUAAGAUACAUGAGGUUAUGCAUGACCUUGAUUUAUUAGAUAUAUGGCGCCUGCAACACCCUUUUGAAAAGAGGUACUCAUGGCGGGGUCCAAAUCGCAAACAAAGUCGUUUGGACUACUUCAUGAUUACCUCUGAUAUAGAAGCAUUUGUAAUUUCAUCAGAUAUAGGAAUAAGUUAUAGAUCGGAUCAUUCUCCAGUACUUAUUAAUUUAAAAUUUUCAAGCCAGAUUAGAGGGAAGGGUACAUGGAAAUUUAAUAACAGUCUAUUGAAGG
Molecule: long non-coding RNA, 2766 nt
Filed under: Mytilus galloprovincialis (Mediterranean mussel)
Lineage: Eukaryota; Metazoa; Mollusca; Bivalvia; Mytilida; Mytilidae
Source: RNAcentral